AGAGUUUGAUCAUGGCUCAGAUUGAACGCUGGCGGUAGGCCUAACACAUGCAAGUCGAACGGUGACAGGAAGCAGCUUGCUGCUUCGCUGACGAGUGGCGGACGGGUGAGUAAUGUCUGGGAAACUGCCUGAUGGAGGGGGAUAACUACUGGAAACGGUAGCUAAUACCGCAUAAUGUCGCAAGACCAAAGAGGGGGACCUUCGGGCCUCUUGCCAUCGGAUGUGCCCAGAUGGGAUUAGCUUGUUGGUGGGGUAACGGCUCACCAAGGCGACGAUCCCUAGCUGGUCUGAGAGGAUGACCAGCCACACUGGAACUGAGACACGGUCCAGACUCCUACGGGAGGCAGCAGUGGGGAAUAUUGCACAAUGGGCGCAAGCCUGAUGCAGCCAUGCCGCGUGUAUGAAGAAGGCCUUCGGGUUGUAAAGUACUUUCAGCGGGGAGGAAGGGAGUAAAGUUAAUACCUUUGCUCAUUGACGUUAUCCGCAGAAGAAGCACCGGCUAACUCCGUGCCAGCAGCCGCGGUAAUACGGAGGGUGCAAGCGUUAAUCGGAAUUACUGGGCGUAAAGCGCACGCAGGCGGUUUGUUAAGUCAGAUGUGAAAUCCCCGGGCUCAACCUGGGAACUGCAUCUGAUACUGGCAAGCUUGAGUCUCGUAGAGGGGGGUAGAAUUCCAGGUGUAGCGGUGAAAUGCGUAGAGAUCUGGAGGAAUACCGGUGGCGAAGGCGGCCCCCUGGACGAAGACUGACGCUCAGGUGCGAAAGCGUGGGGAGCAAACAGGAUUAGAUACCCUGGUAGUCCACGCCGUAAACGAUGUCGACUUGGAGGUUGUGCCCUUGAGGCGUGGCUUCCGGAGCUAACGCGUUAAGUCGACCGCCUGGGGAGUACGGCCGCAAGGUUAAAACUCAAAUGAAUUGACGGGGGCCCGCACAAGCGGUGGAGCAUGUGGUUUAAUUCGAUGCAACGCGAAGAACCUUACCUGGUCUUGACAUCCACGGAAGUUUUCAGAGAUGAGAAUGUGCCUUCGGGAACCGUGAGACAGGUGCUGCAUGGCUGUCGUCAGCUCGUGUUGUGAAAUGUUGGGUUAAGUCCCGCAACGAGCGCAACCCUUAUCCUUUGUUGCCAGCGGUCCGGCCGGGAACUCAAAGGAGACUGCCAGUGAUAAACUGGAGGAAGGUGGGGAUGACGUCAAGUCAUCAUGGCCCUUACGACCAGGGCUACACACGUGCUACAAUGGCGCAUACAAAGAGAAGCGACCUCGCGAGAGCAAGCGGACCUCAUAAAGUGCGUCGUAGUCCGGAUUGGAGUCUGCAACUCGACUCCAUGAAGUCGGAAUCGCUAGUAAUCGUGGAUCAGAAUGCCACGGUGAAUACGUUCCCGGGCCUUGUACACACCGCCCGUCACACCAUGGGAGUGGGUUGCAAAAGAAGUAGGUAGCUUAACCUUCGGGAGGGCGCUUACCACUUUGUGAUUCAUGACUGGGGUGAAGUCGUAACAAGGUAACCGUAGGGGAACCUGCGGUUG
Molecule: ribosomal RNA, 1522 nt
Filed under: Shigella boydii
Lineage: Bacteria; Pseudomonadati; Pseudomonadota; Gammaproteobacteria; Enterobacterales; Enterobacteriaceae
Description: bacterial SSU rRNA
Rfam family: Bacterial small subunit ribosomal RNA
Source: RNAcentral